AUAUCAAUAAGCGGAGGAAAAGAAACCAACAGGGAUUGUCUUAGUAACGGCGAGUGAAGCGACAAAAGCUCAAAUUUGAAAUCUGGCACCUUCGGUGUCCGAGUUGUAAUUUGAAGAAGGUAACUUUGGAGUUGGCUCUUGUCUAUGUUCCUUGGAACAGGACGUCACAGAGGGUGAGAAUCCCGUGCGAUGAGAUGUCCAACUCUAUGUAAAGUGCUUUCGAAGAGUCGAGUUGUUUGGGAAUGCAGCUCUAAGUGGGUGGUAAAUUCCAUCUAAAGCUAAAUAUUGGCGAGAGACCGAUAGCGAACAAGUACAGUGAUGGAAAGAUGAAAAGAACUUUGAAAAGAGAGUGAAAAAGUACGUGAAAUUGUUGAAAGGGAAGGGUUUGAGAUCAGACUUGGUAUUUUGUAUGUCUUGCUUUCGGGUGGGGCCUCUGCAGUUUACUGGGCCAGCAUCGGUUUGGACGGUAGGAUAAUGACAUUGGAAUGUGGCACUACUUCGGUGGUGUGUUAUAGACUUUGUUGAUACUACCUGUCUAGACCGAGGACUGCGUCUUUGACUAGGAUGCUGGCAUAAUGAUCCUAAACCGC
RNAcentral lists this ribosomal RNA (590 nucleotides) under Scheffersomyces shehatae. RNAcentral's name for it is "eukaryotic LSU rRNA". It matches the Rfam family "Eukaryotic large subunit ribosomal RNA", at positions 40 to 648 of the family's 3401-position model. Lineage: Eukaryota; Fungi; Ascomycota; Pichiomycetes; Serinales; Debaryomycetaceae. The record is from RNAcentral. RNAcentral also lists the same sequence under 1 other name.